CUACACAUGCAAGUCGAACGGUAACAGGAAGCAGCUUGCUGCUUCGCUGACGAGUGGCGGACGGGUGAGUAAUGUCUGGGAAACUGCCUGAUGGAGGGGGAUAACUACUGGAAACGGUAGCUAAUACCGCAUAACGUCGCAAGACCAAAGAGGGGGACCUUCGGGCCUCUUGCCAUCGGAUGUGCCCAGAUGGGAUUAGCUAGUAGGUGGGGUAACGGCUCACCUAGGCGACGAUCCCUAGCUGGUCUGAGAGGAUGACCAGCCACACUGGAACUGAGACACGGUCCAGACUCCUACGGGAGGCAGCAGUGGGGAAUAUUGCACAAUGGGCGCAAGCCUGAUGCAGCCAUGCCGCGUGUAUGAAGAAGGCCUUCGGGUUGUAAAGUACUUUCAGCGGGGAGGAAGGCGAUAAGGUUAAUAACCUUGUCGAUUGACGUUACCCGCAGAAGAAGCACCGGCUAACUCCGUGCCAGCAGCCGCGGUAAUACGGAGGGUGCACGCGUUAAUCGGAAUUACUGGGCGUAAAGCGCACGCAGGCGGUCUGUCAAGUCGGAUGUGAAAUCCCCGGGCUCAACCUGGGAACUGCAUUCGAAACUGGCAGGCUAGAGUCUUGUAGAGGGGGGUAGAAUUCCAGGUGUAGCGGUGAGAUGCGUAGAGAUCUGGAGGAAUACCGGUGGCGAAGGCGGCCCCCUGGACAAAGACUGACGCUCAGGUGCGAAAGCGUGGGGAGCAAACAGGAUUAGAUACCCUGGUAGUCCACGCCGUAAACGAUGUCGACUUUGGAGGUUGUGCCCCUUGAGGCGUGGCUUCCGGAGCUUAACGCGUUAAGUCGACCGCCUGGGGAGUACGGCCGCAAGGUUAAAACUCAAUUGAUUGACGGGGGCCC
This 886-nucleotide ribosomal RNA is filed under the name uncultured bacterium. Its description in RNAcentral is "bacterial SSU rRNA". It matches the Rfam family "Bacterial small subunit ribosomal RNA", at positions 49 to 922 of the family's 1533-position model. The record is from RNAcentral.